CAUAGGAGGUCAAAAGGUCAUCAACCAAAAAUCAACAUUAAAUUUAAGCCAAAAUAUAUUUUAAAACUUGUGAUAUCUCAUUAAAACUGAAAUAACAUAAAUAUAAGUUAGCAGAAGUAAAUCAUAUGUUAAAAUACAUGUAUAGAUAAAAUUAUCACAUCUUAGCUGCAGUCACUGCUAAGUUAUGGUUCCAAAAAUAUGUAAUGUGUGCAUGGUGUCUAUAUUAUGAAUUCACCAUUGGAUUUUUAUAUGAAUGAAAAACUUUUAACUGGCUAUAAAUAGGUGGUUGCUCUAUUAUCAUAUAUUAUCAAAUUAAUAUAUUUUUGCAAUUGUGAUACCUAAAUAUGAACUAACUGCCAGAGUAUGGGGUGUCAAUUAAUGCAUUAAGAUUAAUUUGGAGGGUGGGGUGGGGGGAAGUGUGUAAUAUUUAUGCAACUUUUUACCAACUGAAUAUAUUUUGUUAUUAUUAAUAAAUUGUAGAAUAGUACAACCCUUAUCAUUUCUUAAAAAGAAUGAUGUAUCGUUACACGGUUAAUUAUGUCACAGAGGUAAAAGGUCAUCAACCAAAGAUUUAAAUCAAAGCAAAACAUAUUUUAAAACUUGUGUUAAUUAUUUUCUUAUACUGUUAGAACUAAAUUAACAUAGAUAUAUGUUAGUUGAAGUCAAGCGUAGAUCCAGGAUUUUCACUGAACUUCGCACAGAUGGUGUGGUCCUUGCAGUGGUGGAUUCAGAAAUUCAAAGGGAGGGUCCUAGAGAAGGACCUCACAGAUAGACACUUCAGCCCCACUGUGGUUGUGGCUGUGGUAAAAAGAAUUCAGAUUACGUCACCUAUAGAUGACCGGAAAUGGCACUCUCAAGAUUUGAAUACAGGGAUAUAAAAAGGAAGAUGCAAAAUGUAGGAAACUGUUGCUGUGUUUACUUAUGACAAGUUGUGACUCAUCAGAUCAGAUGAAGGGAUGGAAGACAACAAAGAUUGCUAUACGUACCUAUCACAGAGUUAAGAGGGAACCUGCCCUGGGGUCGAAGUUGAAAGUAGUCAAUUCCAUGAAAUCCUGAGUAGCAGAUUCAUGAAUUUGAAGUAGAAGAGAAGCCCAGGGAGGAAUUUCACAGAUGGAGGGGCUAGAGCUGAGGAUUCUUGCCGACAUAUUUCCUGAAGCACAAGUUCUUUAAAACACGGUGGAUGGUAACCGAAAUAUGUUGAUCAAGCUCUCUGAGACGAAAGCAAGCAAUGACGCCUCAGCAGCACAAUUCUCUCGAUUUCUUUGACAUGCAAUUCCAUAGUGAAACGCCCGCUUUGAUUCCAGAAGAAAACAAGCAUUAAGGAAGUACAAGGAAAACGCGAUUAAAUCUACCGAAAGAUAGUGCCAUUCUGUGCUGUGGCUUCACACCCCAUUUGUUGAUGUAUACUCCCUUAGUUUACUGCCAUUCCAUGCUGUGGUUUUACCCACUUGAUGACUGACUGAUGUAGGGUACAAUGAUAUAGACAGGGCAAUGCUUGCUUUAUAACCCAUGUUUAGAGCUUGUUAUUCACUUCCCCCAACAAUCGUCAGUUUAUGCGAUUCUACGGAGAACUCAACGCCACGACGUGCACGCAAGGGAUUGUUUUUAAUGACAAUCUGUUCAAACUGCCAACGACAAUCAGCAGGCGAUGACAUCGCUUCUUCUAGCCAUCCACAGAGAGUGGAGUUGGAUUCAUCGGCCGAUGGUCUUACAACUGCCAUACGACACAUCAAGUUUUAUAGGUAGCCAAUACCAUCAAGAUGUGUACAAAAUCCAGAGCACCAAAAUUCAGUGGACCUUUCUCAUUGGUCAGUUUGAUUGACGCCCUGGAAAGGCCCAUUAUCACUGUCUUAAGUAACCUAUCAAGUAAAAUGAUAAAACAUGGGAUUUAUAUAUGCACAGUUGUAUAUUGUUCAGUAAAAUGCAAGACAUAUAACAGUAAUAUGACAAAUUGUAUUUAUUUAGAUACACUGUAUUGGAUGUAUGUGAUUUGGGGUUUUGUUUGUACUGUUGCUGAUAAUAGUAAUGAUGAUGGUGGUGGUUAUGGUGGUGUUGAUUACAUUAUUUUAUUUUUCGGUUCUUUCAUUUGUAUUUAUUUAGAUUCUUAAAAAAGAAUACCACACAGCCUGAUACACAGAUACAAAACUCAGUGAGCUGGAGGGGCAGAGCCUUCAAAUUGAAGUUAGCUGCUUAAUAAUAAGAAGUAAACACACUAUUCUAUUGGUUAAAAAAAAACUUUUUCCUACCAACCUACCCUUUUUUUGGAUUUACCCAAAAUGUGGCCCCAGCACAGGAAUUUUUGUUUGGCCUAUUGGUAGUGGUGGUGAUUAUGAAAGGUGUUGGUGUCUGUUGCUAGGAUGAUGUUGAUGUUAUCCAGUACUAUAGUCUCCUUAACCAGGUUCUUAUACAGGGCUCCCUCUAUUUAAAGUUCAACUCUAAUUCUGUGGUCCCUAAUUAGCAAAUGUCUGUUACAGUAUCUUUAUUAUUAUCUAUAUUAUUGGAGACCAAAGCUACUGAAGACAGUGGCAACCCUGAUCCCAACAAUGGUCUUUAAGUGGAAAUAUUCUUAUAUAAGUCUCCCUCUAAUUUAAGACCACCUCCAAUUAAAAACCACUUUUCUGUGAUCCCAAAUUAACAAAUGUCCGUUACAGUAUUUUAUUUUUCUAAUUAGAGACAAAAGUUGCUAAAGGCCAUGGAAACCCCGGUCCCAAAACUGGUCUUUAAUUGGAGGGAGACCUGACAUUCAUUAUUGUGUUGCACAUUAAUUGCCCACUCCAUUUUUUAAAUACAUCAUUUAUUUCUGUUUUUAAAAAAUAAUUUAAAUGAUUAUAUAAUAUAGAAAAUGUUCUUAGUGUUAUUAACAAGCAAAAACAUUUAUCAAAAAGUUUUUAUAUAGUUUGUUUAUGUUUACGUUUGUUAUCCAUAUAUAAUAUAAACAUCCUUAAAUUUAUAUUGCAUAAUUGGCUGUAUCAGCAUUAUUCAAUUUUAAUUCCUGCAUAUCAAGUUUAUUUAUAUUUAUCAUUACACAAAGGUCAAUAAAAUUAUGAGUUAAGCCCUUUCCAGCCUGCAUGUGACAUAUCUAUAUAUGGUAAUGAUGACAUCACAUCAUGACCAUAAUAGGCACAUCAUGACUAUAUAUGGGCAUACAACAGUUUUUUGUUGUACUUCAAAAGUUGUCUGUGUUUAUACAGUGUAGCACAUAUAUGCAUUUAUAAAUGCAAGCAUUAUAUUAAGCAAUGCCCAAUAAUUUAUUAUACAAUUUUGUAAACAGUAAAUCAUCUAAAUGUGUAUUGUCAAAGGUUAUUACAUAGGUGUAGCAUUACAAUUAUAUCGAAGGAAAUAUAACAUGUAAUAUAAAAUUAUUUAUUAAUAUGUAACAUGAUAAUGGUAUAUUAUGUGAUAUUUAGUUAUUUAUUAUAUCUUUAUUAGAUAAGCAUUAAUUAUUAUUGUU
RNAcentral lists this long non-coding RNA (3451 nucleotides) under Anneissia japonica. RNAcentral's name for it is "uncharacterized LOC117112301". Lineage: Eukaryota; Metazoa; Echinodermata; Crinoidea; Comatulida; Comatulidae. The record is from RNAcentral.